AAUGUUUCGCAGUCUAACAACUUAUUGCAGCAGGAAUAUUAUGGACAAAAGUAUUCCAAACAUCAAAUAUAUCAACAGUAUCAAGAGGAAAUGAGAAAACAUGAGGCAUCCUCACUAAACAAGAUAUGGUGCUGCUAUAAAAAAGAAAGAGAACCAUCUUGCAUUUAAUCAUGAUCUUACAAAGUCCAUAAAUAGGAUUACAAUAAUCUCUAGAAGUUUAACUUCAGAAAAAAUACAAUUACAAAUCAUAUAUUUAUCUGAUCAAUUUCAAUGCAUUGUGCUCUUACUAUUAAAGGAUUGUUCCAUAAAUUAUUACUUGUGUCAAAAGACUGGAGGGUCAUUUCAUGCUUUUGAGUUCACAAAGCGGCUAAUAACAACUCUUUUUCUUAAUAGACAGACCAUCUAAUAGCACAACCAUCAUGGCACUUCUCACUUAUUUGGCUUCAACUUUGUAACACUUCUUUCUCAAUCAACCACAAAGAUACCUGUAAGUUGCAAGGAUUUUAAGCAUGCUAAGCAGUACACAUGUUGCAUCAGCAAAGGAAUUUAAUGCACUCUUUUUAAUUAAAAAAAUACAACCCAUGAUACUGGCUUGACAUGCCAUGGCACACACCAGCCAGCAGAAAACAGCUCAGGCCAGCACCUGAAACCUUGGUUUUUUGGACUUUUCCCAUUCACAUACAACACCUCUUCAUAGUUUUACCUGUUUGUCUAUUUCAAAAACAAACUGUAAAUGUACAUAUCAAUACCUCAUGCUCCCUAGUUUUAUUAGAAGCUGAUUUGUUCGUGAUCAUGCUCAUACAUGACUGAAAUCUAUGCAAGCUCAGAUAUGCAAGGCAUUUUUUUCAUUUACUCUGAUAAUUGAAGGAAAGGGUGCUCCAAGUAAAAUUACAAACUUACUUCAGGGUUUUGGGUGUGGGAUGUCAUAUUUGGCUGUUCUUAUAUAAGCAUUCAGCUAUAGAGUAUGCAAAUUUUCUCUGCAGCCCAAGUCAAAUUAAAAUAAUAUUUAACAUAUUAUUAUAAUGGUCUGAAUAGACAAGUCCAAGAGUUACUUUUUGGAGGAAUCGAGAUUGACUGAGAAAGUUGGAGUCUCUCUUGUAAUAAUCUUUUAUUAUUUAAUAUGAUAAUCUUUAGGUUACAUAUAUGUGACCUCUUAGCCAGAUGGCUGUAAAUAUUAGGAUAAUCUUUUAUUAUUUAACUGUAUUUCAAGCGAACAAGAGCUUGAACUAUAAAAUAACAAAUACAUCACUGUCUUUUUCUUGAGAAAGUUCUAGAAAAAAUUCUUGGUUGUUCAGUACUCCAUCCAUUAUGAACAUUUUUCAAAUAGGUUAUUGGCAUUACAUGUCACAUGUACCACCAGCCAUGCUAGCCCAUACAGUUCUUAUCCACCUUCAUCAAUAUGUACUGUAGUGAUGCGCACUCACAUAUAUCAUGAAACUUGCAGAGUGCUCUCUUGGUUUUAACUCAUAUCAGGCAAUCCUGCAUAGAGUUGCUUUUAUGCAACAUAUUCAAAAGCCAUUCUCUUUAGUUUUUGCCUCUUGUGCAUUUUUUAAAAAAAAAAUUAAGGCCCAAUCUACAAAGUAAACGCAGCAACAAUAAAAUAUCAUUUUCUACACUGGACCAAUGGAAUGAGCUAAUGGUA
This 1642-nucleotide long non-coding RNA is filed under the name Elaeis guineensis (African oil palm). Its description in RNAcentral is "long non-coding RNA (EGUI_LNC035290)". Lineage: Eukaryota; Viridiplantae; Streptophyta; Magnoliopsida; Arecales; Arecaceae. The record is from RNAcentral.